AAAUUGAAGAGUUUGAUCAUGGCUCAGAUUGAACGCUGGCGGCAGGCCUAACACAUGCAAGUCGAACGGUAACAGGAAGCAGCUUGCUGCUUCGCUGACGAGUGGCGGACGGGUGAGUAAUGUCUGGGAAACUGCCUGAUGGAGGGGGAUAACUACUGGAAACGGUGGCUAAUACCGCAUAACGUCGCAAGACCAAAGAGGGGGACCUUCGGGCCUCUUGCCAUCAGAUGUGCCCAGAUGGGAUUAGCUUGUUGGUGAGGUAACGGCUCACCAAGGCGACGAUCCCUAGCUGGUCUGAGAGGAUGACCAGCCACACUGGAACUGAGACACGGUCCAGACUCCUACGGGAGGCAGCAGUGGGGAAUAUUGCACAAUGGGCGCAAGCCUGAUGCAGCCAUGCCGCGUGUAUGAAGAAGGCCUUCGGGUUGUAAAGUACUUUCAGCGGGGAGGAAGGUGUUGCGGUUAAUAACCGCAGCAAUUGACGUUACCCGCAGAAGAAGCACCGGCUAACUCCGUGCCAGCAGCCGCGGUAAUACGGAGGGUGCAAGCGUUAAUCGGAAUUACUGGGCGUAAAGCGCACGCAGGCGGUCUGUCAAGUCGGAUGUGAAAUCCCCGGGCUCAACCUGGGAACUGCAUUCGAAACUGGCAGGCUUGAGUCUUGUAGAGGGGGGUAGAAUUCCAGGUGUAGCGGUGAAAUGCGUAGAGAUCUGGAGGAAUACCGGUGGCGAAGGCGGCCCCCUGGACAAAGACUGACGCUCAGGUGCGAAAGCGUGGGGAGCAAACAGGAUUAGAUACCCUGGUAGUCCACGCCGUAAACGAUGUCUACUUGGAGGUUGUGCCCUUGAGGUGUGGCUUCCGGAGCUAACGCGUUAAGUAGACCGCCUGGGGAGUACGGCCGCAAGGUUAAAACUCAAAUGAAUUGACGGGGGCCCGCACAAGCGGUGGAGCAUGUGGUUUAAUUCGAUGCAACGCGAAGAACCUUACCUGGUCUUGACAUCCACAGAAGAAUCCAGAGAUGGAUUUGUGCCUUCGGGAACUGUGAGACAGGUGCUGCAUGGCUGUCGUCAGCUCGUGUUGUGAAAUGUUGGGUUAAGUCCCGCAACGAGCGCAACCCUUAUCCUUUGUUGCCAGCGGUCCGGCCGGGAACUCAAAGGAGACUGCCAGUGAUAAACUGGAGGAAGGUGGGGAUGACGUCAAGUCAUCAUGGCCCUUACGACCAGGGCUACACACGUGCUACAAUGGCGCAUACAAAGAGAAGCGACCUCGCGAGAGCAAGCGGACCUCAUAAAGUGCGUCGUAGUCCGGAUUGGAGUCUGCAACUCGACUCCAUGAAGUCGGAAUCGCUAGUAAUCGUGGAUCAGAAUGCCACGGUGAAUACGUUCCCGGGCCUUGUACACACCGCCCGUCACACCAUGGGAGUGGGUUGCAAAAGAAGUAGGUAGCUUAACCUUCGGGAGGGCGCUUACCACUUUGUGAUUCAUGACUGGGGUGAAGUCGUAACAAGGUAACCGUAGGGGAACCUGCGGUUGGAUCACCUCCUUA
RNAcentral lists this ribosomal RNA (1542 nucleotides) under Salmonella enterica subsp. enterica serovar Infantis. RNAcentral's name for it is "bacterial SSU rRNA". It matches the Rfam family "Bacterial small subunit ribosomal RNA". RNAcentral also lists the same sequence under 5 other names. Lineage: Bacteria; Pseudomonadati; Pseudomonadota; Gammaproteobacteria; Enterobacterales; Enterobacteriaceae. The record is from RNAcentral.